GAAACAACAAAACGCAGCCCGUUCGGGAGUUAUCAAUUCCGUUUUUUUCUUCUUAGCAGCUCAGCAAGCGCGCACACGUGCGGCAACACGAACUCGAGCUCCCCACUUUUCCCCACCCGAAACCCUCGCCUCCGCCGCCGCACCAUGCCGCCGCCGCCGGUGCUGAUGGACGAGCUCGUGGAGGAGGUCCUCCUCCGCCUCCCGCCGGACGAUCCCGCCUCGCUCUUCCGCGCCUCCGCCGUCUGCAAGCCCUGGCGCAUCAUCCUCGCCGGCCCGCGCUUCCGCCGCCGCUACCGCGAGUUCCACGGAACACCUCCCAUCCUGGGACUCUUCCAGCAGGGCGGCCGCUUCGUCCCCGCCUCCGCCCUCGUCCCUGCCCACCCCGGCCUCCCCAGCUGGGUUGCCAUGGACUGCCGCCAUGGCCGCGCCCUCUUCGCCCACCUCGGGAUCACCCUUGAACUCGUCGUCUUGGACCCUGUGACGGGCCACCAGCACAGGGUGACCUCGUCCUAUCACUAUCCGGUCACCGUCGGUGCGGCGGUGCUCUGUGCCGCGCAAGGCUGCGACCACCACGGUUGCCAGGGAGGGCAUUUCCAUCUGGCCUUUGUGUCCACCGACCAGGUCGGAACCAUAUCGGCCUGGCUGUACUCAUCUGAGACUGCCGAGUGGAGUAAGUUCACCUCUCUUCACCACUCAAAUGCUCACCACUCAAAUGCUUUGCUUCAAACAUUUAGUGAGGCUAGUGUCCUUGUGGGCGAGGCGCUCUACUUCAACAUGGGUUACAUUGUGGAGUGCCAACUUGGUACACUCCGCAUAUCAAUGUUCAAGAAGCCGAUCGACGGCAAGGGGUGUCUCAUGACGGCGGAAGACGGCACGCUGGGAUUUGCUGCCGUGGUGGAUGUCGCAAAUCUAACCCUUUGGUCAAUGGAGACCGGACCCGAGGGAGCCACUGGAUGGGCGAAACUCAGGGUAAUUGAUCUUAAGGCGCUGCUCCCUGAUGGAUCCUUCUUGAUCCGAGCACCUGAAGAUGGGAUUUGGAGCAUCACAAAGGUUAUCCCAGCACCUAAAGCUGGGAUUAUUGGCAUUGCGGAGGGUACCCAAGUCAUAUUUGUGAGCACAUAUGCUGGUUCCUACAUGGUCGAUCUCAAGUCUCGACAAGUCAGGAAGGUGUCUCGUCCGGGCAAAAUUAUCUUUCCCUACAUGAGCUUCUACCUCCCAGCAAUGGAAGCAGCUUCUACGGGCCAGGGGCAGUGA
RNAcentral lists this ribosomal RNA (1254 nucleotides) under Triticum aestivum (bread wheat). RNAcentral describes it as "partial small subunit ribosomal RNA". The record is from RNAcentral. Lineage: Eukaryota; Viridiplantae; Streptophyta; Magnoliopsida; Poales; Poaceae.